UAUUGGAGUGCAUGAUUUAAAAUUUAAAGAAGGGAUUUGAGGAGACUGUGGGGUGGAGAUGAAGCCUAACCACCUCCACAUACUCUGUGAGGUCGAAGGGCCCCCUGUGGGAGUAGGAUGGCCACCAGAGAACACCGUGAACUUAAAAACAGCGGAAGCAGUCUACACAGGAGUCACAGGAGAGCCAGGACACCUGGGUCAAUAUCCACAUAUUGACUCAUGGCUAGGGUUAGCCCAAGACCCUCCUACUUGGACAAGGUUCUGCAUCCAGAAGGGAAAGGGAAAAAUAUUAAUGGCACAAAAAUUGACUGAUGAUGAGAAAGGAAAUUCUACAGGAGUUGGACAGGGAUGACCGGGCUGCCGUCUAUGGGGUCGCACAGAGUCAGACACGACUGAAACGACUUAGCAGCAGCAGCAGACCUGACCCCUCGCCCAUACUGGGUAAUGACGCGCCUGCCUCCCAGGGCUCCACCAGGACCAGAGGCCGCCUUAAUGCCCCAUCCAGGGCCGGGUGAAGUUCCUGCAGCAGCCGCUGCUCUUCCACCCGCUCUCCCGGAGUUCACAGAGCCGCCAUUUUGGCAGCCUCCAGUCCCAGCAAUGGAGACCUCUGGUCCACGCCCCCAGAAUUCCACCUCAGCUGGACCUCCUAGACUGUAUCCACCUCUCCCGGACAAAAUCUCAGAACUUCACUGCUUGCUCACAGGUCAAUGCUGCCUCUCGGCACAGAGAGAAACCUCCAGGGAUUCAGCUAAAACGCACGCUGCCCUUUGAACACCUGGAAGGGAGGCCCCCUCCCAUAAUAAAACAGGUGUCAGGAAAUUUGCCUCAGUUAAAGUUGCAGGUGUCACUCCCUGGAACCACGACAUGAGGGUGAAGAGAGCAUAGCAUGCAGACCUGGAGGACGCUGAGUGGACUACAUAAAAGGACCCCGCCGAUCCCCAGGAAACCAAGAUCAUCUUAAAGAAGAAAAAGAGAUGAAGCUCUACAAUCAACUGCUGCUACAAUGACUUGCUGGUAUCAUCUUGAGACUAACCAUAGUUUCAGUACAAAGAGGGACCUGUGCUAUAAUUAAAGUUGAAAUUGAAUGUUGUGUAUAUAUUCCUGAUUUAUCUGGCUAUAUAUCAGCCACCCUAGAUGACAUGAAAGGUCAGGUAAAAGUUAUGUCUGAUGAUAAUCUUCCUUUUUGAACUUCAGUCCUAUUUCGGUGAAGGGUGAUUGGUGGAAAACUAUAUUUA
Non-coding RNA from Odocoileus virginianus texanus, 1235 nucleotides. The record is from RefSeq and is a predicted model, not a curated record. Lineage: Eukaryota; Metazoa; Chordata; Mammalia; Artiodactyla; Cervidae.